UGCCAGCAGCCGCGGUAAUACGAGGGGUGCUAGCGUUGUCCGGAAUAACUGGGCGUAAAGGGUCCGUAGGCGUUUUAUUAAGUUGAUUGUUAAAUCCACCGGCUUAACCGGUGAUCUGCAAUCAAAACUGAUAAAAUAGAAUAUGUGAGAGGAAUGUGGAAUUCCUGGUGUAGCGGUGACAUGCGUAGAUAUCAGGAGGAACACCAAUGGCGAAGGCAGCAUUCUGGCACAAUAUUGACGCUGAGGGACGAAAGCGUGGGGAGCGAACAGGAUUAGAUA
RNAcentral lists this ribosomal RNA (279 nucleotides) under uncultured bacterium. RNAcentral's name for it is "partial 16S ribosomal RNA". It matches the Rfam family "Bacterial small subunit ribosomal RNA", at positions 506 to 784 of the family's 1533-position model. The record is from RNAcentral.